This 422-nucleotide long non-coding RNA is filed under the name Rattus norvegicus (Norway rat). RNAcentral describes it as "long non-coding RNA NONRATT032783". Lineage: Eukaryota; Metazoa; Chordata; Mammalia; Rodentia; Muridae. The record is from RNAcentral.
AUGAGAGGAGGGGGAGGGGGCGAGACAGCUCCCAAAAUGGCUCCUGCCCCUCCUCGGAGGCGUCCGGCUACGGGGGGGAGGGGAGGGAGGAGGGCUGCAGAGCAGCGCCGCCGCCUCCUCGGCUCGCCCUCCUCCCUGGCGCUGACCGAUGGAAGAGGCGCUCCGUGGGGAGGACUCCCGGCCCGAUGGGGGCGGGGGGCUUCAGUUCGCCCACGCUGGGACGAGAUGGGGCCAAGGAGCCGCGCCCGCUCUCCCCACCCUGACGCCGGAAUAAGUUUGCAGAGAUUCUCCACUGCGGCGGCAUCGCAACCAAGAGCUUUUUGCCGGCCCCGCCCGCGCAGCCCAUCCCACUCUGCACCCCGCCCGCGCCGCCAAUGGAGAAGCUGAGAAUGGCGCGGCCAGCCCGCCGCGGGCGAUCGGCG